GUGUGGGUGUGUCGCCUGGAACAAGGAGAAAAGAGGGGAAAACCCUCUUAUUCAACAAAUCAGUGAAAUUGGAAGGGAAAAUCAAAGUCUGAUUGUAUGCAUGAAUACCAAUCCUUGAUCACCUAAGAAUUUCCUGCAUAAGGGAUCAAGGAAGAAAGCUCGAGUCGUUCCGGGUCGCAAACAAACAACGACAAAGGUAAGUUCUUGCUUACAUAACGUUAUUAGCAUGUAUUGUCGUGGCAUACUAUUAUUCAAUGGUUGAAGUCGUUUACUUGUAACGGGUUAUUGCAAGCCGAUUAUGUAAUUUAGGUAUGGGCCAAAUGAGUUAGAAGAGUAAUGUGAAAAAAAUGGAAGAAACUUCAUGUUCGGAAGAAGGUUUACUUGAGGGUCAUGUUUGUAAUUAACGUUGUAAAGCGACUUAUUAAAUGGCGUUACUUGGAUCGAACACAUUCAUGAUGCACGCUUCCGUGAAGAAACUAGUUUUAGUCAAAACUUUUGUUAAAUGCUUUUCUUUUGUUCCAAACGGGUCUUUUGUAAGUUUUAUGAUCCGAAAGUAGUAGAUGUUGAACUUGUAGUUAAAAGACUAUGUUAGUAGUUUAUGUAAUGUUUGGGUUAAAAACUUUUGUAGUCGUUAUGUUGUUCGUUACCAAGUUAAAUGCAGAAUUUUGGUUUGUAAAUUAUUCGACCCGUUUACUUCUUUGUUAAAUGAAAGUUCGUUAGUGUCCUUUUUUAAGUUUUAGACCUUACAGCAUAUGUGUUCAUUUGUCAUCUCUAGCUAACUGAUAUAAUAUUAUUCGCAUAACAAUGACCGUUUUGAACUCUGAAAACGGUAUAGCAACAAUAUAAUAUACACGUGUUUCUGAAGUUUGACCGAGAUGACACAAUCGAAACUGGUUGACCGAGUUACAAAUACGAAUGUCAUAAACUGCGCAUUAUUGGCAACUAUACAUGUUCAAUAACAAGAACAUGAUGUGCACACACAUAAUUCUAGUUCUGUUUCCUGAAGAUCUCAGUAUUGGCCUGAUAUGCCAGAUAAAGUUUUAAUCAAUGAUUUUAUAUACCUUGAUCUACAUUUCGCCCGGAAGCAUCGUAUCCCCUGGCAGGUCACAUACCGCAAUUCCCUGAAAGUAAACAAGAUUAUAUAAAAAAAAUGUUUGCGAGUCAACCCAACCCGUUUUCACUGGUAUCAGGUACUCACCUCUCCCGUUAAGUGUGCUACACAUUUCUUCUCGGCAAGCAGCUCGUCCUCAGACUAAAAAAAUAUGAAAGUGAUUUAGCAUUGUACCUUGUAAGAUAAAAAUAUUAUAGAUUUGAAGAGUGAAGAUUUCGAGUACCUUUUUAAUUCUUUUCCAUAGGUAGUCAUCGAAUAUCACGUCUUUAACAAGCUCGUAAUCGCCAUCCCCCUAACCGAAAAAAUUAACGGAGUUGAGAAAUACAAAUUAGAAGAAGAGUU
RNAcentral lists this long non-coding RNA (1453 nucleotides) under Helianthus annuus (common sunflower). RNAcentral's name for it is "hypothetical non coding rna". Lineage: Eukaryota; Viridiplantae; Streptophyta; Magnoliopsida; Asterales; Asteraceae. The record is from RNAcentral.